Long non-coding RNA from Odocoileus virginianus texanus, 1526 nucleotides. RefSeq lists it as uncharacterized. The record is from RefSeq and is a predicted model, not a curated record. NCBI's taxonomy places the organism in Eukaryota, Metazoa, Chordata, Mammalia, Artiodactyla, Cervidae.
UUGUUUUAGGUCCUCAACUAGGGGUAGUAACAUUGUGAAAGAACUGUUUUAGAAAGUGACCCUGAGUGUGGCAGCUCAAUACAGUCUCCAUUUAUAGGAAGCAUUUCGGAAGCUUUAAUAUAUGCUAGGCAGUGUACUGCCGCUUUCUGUAAAUUAUUGAUAUGUCAUUGAAUCCACAAAAUAAACAGCCAGUUAUUAACAUUAUUUUACAAGUGAGGAAACCAAGGUUCUGGGAUACAGAUGGGCUGAAGGGAAGCUCACCAGCCAUACACACACUCAAGUGAUCAGAAAACAAACUUCUACAGGAGCUGGGCACCCGUGGGCAGUGACUGUUCACUUCUUUGGGCAAGAAUGCUGAAAACAAUAAUUUACAUGUGAGACGGAGGUUCCACAGGAGAAAGCAUAGGCUAACAGCAAGAGCUUCCACUCUCAAAUUACUGAUAUGUAAAAGAGCUUAACACAGCAAACCUGCAUCGUCCAAGUUUCCUAAAAGAACACUCGAGUUUUAGUCCAGGCCUACACAUUGCUCUUAAAAAGUGUAAAAUGCCAGAUGCAAAACAUGAGAAUACAAAAGGAUAUCUGUACUCAUGGGCUGUAAUUGACUGUUGGCUACAGCUCUGCGGUGCUGAGGAUGAAAGCCUGCUUGGAACUGGUUCAGAAGACAAUGAUUCUCUGAAUUUGCCUUUGUCUGGCAAGAUGUAGCUCCCUACCGUCCCUAGCAUCUCCUCCUCCGUGAGUUUGUCUGCACGGCCUUUCUCCACAACAUGCACCACGCUGCACCCUCACUUUGGGUCAUCCGGGGUCAGGCAUCCUCCCUGCUCUCCACUAGGUGACAGCUUGGAUAUAUGAAAAAUACAGCAUUCCCUAAAUGUUGUCAAGAGAUUGGCGAGCACCAGUAUUUAUCCAACCGGCCUGGCGGAAAUGACAGAAGAGGGAAAUUUCAGAGCCAAGGCAGUUUUUGACAGUGCUUCAGAUUCUGCCUUAGACUCAUGGAAAGUUGGUACUCAAGAAGGUACCUUAGGGAUAAUUUAAUCCACCACCCCUCUUUGACUGUGAGAAAACUGAAGCCAAAGCAGUGAAGAGAUUCACGUUAGGUCUUGCACAGAUGGGUAGACAGAGAUUCAGAACCAGGACUGGAUGAUCCUGACUCUGUUUCAGUCAUGUUAAAGCUGGCCAACAGGUACAUUUGACAACCCACACUCUGAACUGAUGUUCAUAAAGGUAUCCUAUAUCCAGCACAUUAAUGCCCAUUUCUCUGAGAAUUAGGCAAACAAGUUGGAAAAUUUUGAGUGGAAGACAGUGGCUGUAAAAGUGGGGAGAAAUUCCUGUAUAGACUUGCUCACUGGAAGCAAGUCCUUGGCUUCCCCAAGACAAAGGACAGUAUUAGUCACAAGGUUAAAGUUAAAAACUGGUGGUGCCUCCUGGCUGAGGGCAGACAUCCUUCUGGGAAAGCUGUAGGCUAAAAUGAAUAUCCACUGGAAGGGCUGAUGGCUAAAGCUGAAGCUCCAGUAUUUUGGUCACCUGAU